Molecule: ribosomal RNA, 356 nt
Filed under: Neato beerwah
Lineage: Eukaryota; Metazoa; Arthropoda; Arachnida; Araneae; Trachycosmidae
Description: partial 12S ribosomal RNA
Source: RNAcentral
AGGAAAUAAUUCUAAACAAAACCUAUAUAUAAUGGUGGCAUAUUUCCUAUUAGAGGAACUUGUUUAAUAAUCGAUAACCCACGUUAUAUUUCACUUUUAUCAAAAAUUUAUAUACCGCCAUCUAAAGAAUUGAUUUAUAAAUCUUUUUCAUAAUAAUUUAUAAAAAGUUAGGUCAAGGUAUAAUUAAUAUAAAAGAUUCAAAUGAGUUACACUAAAAACAAUUUAAAAAAAUAUAUAACAAUUUUCUAAAAAAGAAUUUAUUAGUAAUAUAAUAUUAAUUUAUAUAUAUAUAUAUAUAUACAUUUAUAUUUAAUUAUAAUAAUAAUAAUUUUAUAUGAACUUAAUAAAAAAUGUGC